GAUGAAGAACGCAGCGAAAUGCGAUACUUGGUGUGAAUUGCAGAAUCCCGUGAACCAUCGAGUCUUUGAACGCAAGUUGCGCCCGAAGCCAUUAGGCCGAGGGCACGCCUGCCUGGGCGUCACACGUCGUUGCCCCCCCAUCUACUCCUUCGGGAUUGCGGGGGGCGGAUGAUGGCCUCCCGUGCGCCUCGUCGCGCGGUUGGCAUAAAUGCCAAGUCCUCGGCGACGCACGCCACGACAAUCGGUGGUUGCGAAACCUCGGUUGCCCGUCGUGUGCGGUCGUCGCGCAUCGAGGGCUCGAAAAAAUUGUCGGGCUCCGGCUCGGCUUUCAACGCGACCCCAGGUCAGGUAGGGAUACCCGCUGAACUUAAGCAUAUCAAUAAGCGGAGGA
Molecule: unclassified non-coding RNA, 391 nt
Filed under: soil metagenome
Description: partial contains 5.8S ribosomal RNA, internal transcribed spacer 2, and large subunit ribosomal RNA
Rfam family: 5.8S ribosomal RNA (bases 1-122)
Source: RNAcentral